Molecule: ribosomal RNA, 301 nt
Filed under: uncultured bacterium
Lineage: Bacteria
Description: partial 16S ribosomal RNA
Rfam family: Bacterial small subunit ribosomal RNA
Source: RNAcentral
CAGCCGCCGCGGUAAUACGAAGGGUGCAAGCGUUACUCGGAAUUACUGGGCGUAAAGCGUGCGUAGGUGGUGGUUUAAGUCCGUUGUGAGAGCCCUGGGCUCAACCUGGGAAUUGCAGUGGAUACUGGGUCACUAGAGUGUGGUAGAGGAUAGUGGAAUUUCCGGUGUAGCAGUGAAAUGCGUAGAGAUCGGAAGGAACAUCUGUGGCGAAGGCGACUAUCUGGGCCAACACUGACACUGAGGCACGAAAGCGUGGGGAGCAAACAGGAUUAGAUACCCCUGUAGUCCCUGUCUCUUAUAC